This 24-nucleotide non-coding RNA is filed under the name Cricetulus griseus (Chinese hamster). The record is from RNAcentral. Lineage: Eukaryota; Metazoa; Chordata; Mammalia; Rodentia; Cricetidae.
AACCACCGUAAUUGUAACUGAGGC